Olea europaea var. sylvestris is the source of this 402-nucleotide long non-coding RNA. RefSeq lists it as uncharacterized. The record is from RefSeq and is a predicted model, not a curated record. The transcript has 2 exons. Lineage: Eukaryota; Viridiplantae; Streptophyta; Magnoliopsida; Lamiales; Oleaceae.
AGGAUGGACGACACUGCACAUAUUAUAGAUGGUCUCCUUCAAAAAAUCUACCCGAUACCCUCGAAAUGGAUGGAGUGACGAUAUCUGAAGUUGCCUGGUUAGAAGAGUCUCAGCCUCCAGAUGACUUCGUGGUUAGGAGAGGGCAAUACAAGGGCCGUGUUAUCAAAACUUGAGAUGAUUUUUGGUGCUAUUCGUAUGCAUUGAUGCCUUCAUUGGGGAGUUUGUUUAGUUUAAUUAAAGUUUCUACUUAUGUGACAAUAAUUUUUGCUAACUGCAGAAAUUAGACUUUGAGAUGUAUAUAUUGAUGCAUUAGAUAUUAUUUUCGCGUUUUCAACCUAAAAUGGUAAAAACUUGAGCUGAAAUAUGGACGUGGUGAUGCCUUUAUAUGGUUUGUUACUUGUA